Molecule: long non-coding RNA, 684 nt
Filed under: Monodelphis domestica (gray short-tailed opossum)
Lineage: Eukaryota; Metazoa; Chordata; Mammalia; Didelphimorphia; Didelphidae
Description: lncRNA (ENSMODG00000035669.2)
Source: RNAcentral
AGGAAGUUUUCUGUUUCUAAACUUAGAAACUUUAGAGAGUACUUAUUCUAAUUCUUUCAUUUUCCAGUUGAGAAAAAGGAGAGGUUAAAUGCCUUGAUCAAAAGCACACAAAUAGUUAAAGGAGAAACCAAUAUUAGAAGAGAAUUUUUUGACUGCAGUUGGAUUCUCCUCCCACAUACAGGGAUGCCUCAGAUGGAUGAAGUAUUGGCCUCCUCUACUAGAAACAAAGAAACAACUAAUUUAUGGUUCAAAACAUCAAGAACCCAUCAUUUUUUUUCCUAUCAGCCAGAGGUCAAGAGAGGACCAGGCACAGAAGCCCCACCAAAAAAGAAAAAAAAAAGGGAAGCAUAUGAUGAAAGGAAGCCCAUCAUGACAGCUGGUACCUAAGAAAAAUGUCCAGCACUAGCAGGAACCCAAGUGGUAUUAGAGCAAUCCCUUACCACCGCAUCUGAAGAUUCAUUUCCAUUCUAUUCAACAGGCAAUUGUUAAGGGCCUGUUCUCUAUCAGAGGCAGCCCAAUGUGAUGGCCUGAGAGCUGGCCUCAAAGCCACCCUCAAGAGGUCAGUCAGGUCCUGCCUUGGACACAUUUUGGCUGUGUAACCCUGUAGGGAACUCCAAUUACGUGUAGCCAAGAAGAUGCUGACCCACAUUGGUAGAAUUUUAUCAUUAAAACCAUCAACUACUC